Molecule: long non-coding RNA, 209 nt
Filed under: Capsicum annuum
Lineage: Eukaryota; Viridiplantae; Streptophyta; Magnoliopsida; Solanales; Solanaceae
Description: long non-coding RNA (CANN_LNC006456)
Source: RNAcentral
CCCAAGUCUUCGAGUUCCCUAACUUGAAGACGUGAUUCCUAACUCAGCUUAUAGAAUACUGAGACUAGAACAAUUUACUCAUUACAACUAAAGAACCUUCCUAUUACAAGCAGUCUAAAACAUACUAAGUGAGAACUAGGUUCUUCUUCAAGUUAGUGAACGAUUUUGCUGAUUGUUGAUUUUCUUAUCAGUGCUUCAUCAUCAUUUGA